GACGAACGCUGGCGGCGUGCUUAACACAUGCAAGUCGAACGCUGAAGCACCAGCUUGCUGGUGUGGAUGAGUGGCGAACGGGUGAGUAAUACGUGAGUAACCUGCCCUUGACUCUGGGAUAAGCCCGGGAAACUGGGUCUAAUACUGGAUGCUACAUGUCACCGCAUGGUGGUGUGUGGAAAGGGUUUACUGGUCUUGGAUGGGCUCACGGCCUAUCAGCUUGUUGGUGAGGUAAUGGCUCACCAAGGCGACGACGGGUAGCCGGCCUGAGAGGGUGACCGGGCACACUGGGACUGAGACACGGCCCAGACUCCUACGGGAGGCAGCAGGGGGGAAGAUUGCACAAUGGGCGAAAGCCUGAUGCAGCGACGCCGCGGGAGGGAUGACGGGCUUCGGGUUGGAAACCUCUUUCAGCAGGGAAGAAGCCACAAGUGACGGUACCUGCAGAAGAAGCGCCGGCUAACUACGUG
Molecule: ribosomal RNA, 470 nt
Filed under: uncultured bacterium
Lineage: Bacteria
Description: partial 16S ribosomal RNA
Rfam family: Bacterial small subunit ribosomal RNA
Source: RNAcentral